AUGCAAGUCGAACGCGAAAACCCCGCAAGGGGUUAGUAGAGUGGCGAACGGGUGAGUAACACGUGGGUGACCUACCUUCGAAUGGGGGAUAACGUCCCGAAAGGGACGCUAAUACCGCAUAACAUCCUGCUUUUGAACAAGUGGAGAUCAAAGCCGGGGAUCGCAAGACCUGGCGUUUGAAGAGGGGCCCGCGUCUGAUUAGCUAGUUGGUGAGGUAACGGCUCACCAAGGCGACGAUCAGUAUCCGGCCUGAGAGGGCGGACGGACACACUGGGACUGAGACACGGCCCAGACUCCUACGGGAGGCAGCAGUGGGGAAUUGUUCGCAAUGGGCGCAAGCCUGACGACGCAACGCCGCGUGGAGGAUGAAGGUCUUCGGAUUGUAAACUCCUGUUGCCCGGGACGAAACGCUUCGACCUAACACGUCGAAGUUUGACGGUACCGGGUGAGGAAGCCCCGGCUAACUCUGUGCCAGCAGCCGCGGUAAUACAGAGGGGGCAAGCGUUGUUCGGAAUUACUGGGCGUAAAGGGCGCGUAGGCGGCCUUCUAAGUCGAACGUGAAAUCCCCGGGCUCAACCCGGGAACUGCGUCCGAUACUGGAAGGCUCGAAUCCGGGAGAGGGAUGCGGAAUUCCAGGUGUAGCGGUGAAAUGCGUAGAUAUCUGGAGGAACACCGGUGGCGAAGGCGGCAUCCUGGACCGGCAUUGACGCUGAGGCGCGAAAGCCAGGGGAGCAAACGGGAUUAGAUACCCCGGUAGUCCUGGCCCUAAACGAUGAAUGCUAGGUGUGGCGGGUAUCGAUCCCUGCCGUGCCGA
This 814-nucleotide ribosomal RNA is filed under the name uncultured Bacillota bacterium. RNAcentral describes it as "bacterial SSU rRNA". It matches the Rfam family "Bacterial small subunit ribosomal RNA", at positions 55 to 849 of the family's 1533-position model. Lineage: Bacteria; Bacillati; Bacillota. The record is from RNAcentral.